RNAcentral lists this ribosomal RNA (482 nucleotides) under uncultured bacterium. RNAcentral describes it as "bacterial SSU rRNA". It matches the Rfam family "Bacterial small subunit ribosomal RNA", at positions 329 to 803 of the family's 1533-position model. The record is from RNAcentral.
UGGCUAACUCCUACGGGAGGCAGCAGUGGGGAAUAUUGGACAAUGGGGGGAACCCUGAUCCAGCCAUGCCGCGUGUGUGAAGAAGGCCUUAUGGUUGUAAAGCACUUUAAGCGAGGAGGAGGGUGCUGGUAUUAAUACUACCAGCUACUGGACGUUACUCGCAGAAUAAGCACCGGCUAACUCUGUGCCAGCAGCCGCGGUAAUACAGAGGGUGCGAGCGUUAAUCGGAUUUACUGGGCGUAAAGCGUGCGUAGGCGGCUAAUUGAGUCGGAUGUGAAAUCCCCGAGCUUAACUUGGGAAUUGCAUUCGAUACUGGUUAGCUAGAGUGUGGGAGAGGAUGGUAGAAUUCCAGGUGUAGCGGUGAAAUGCGUAGAGAUCUGGAGGAAUACCGAUGGCGAAGGCAGCCAUCUGGCCUAACACUGACGCUGAGGUACGAAAGCAUGGGGAGCAAACAGGAUUAGAUACCCGUGUAGUCCAGCUGG